GACGAACGCUGGCGGCGUGCUUAACACAUGCAAGUCGAACGGAAAGGCCCUGCUUUUGUGGGGUGCUCGAGUGGCGAACGGGUGAGUAACACGAGAGUAACCUGCCCUUGACUUUGGGAUAACUUCAGGAAACUGGGGCUAAUACCGGAUAGGAGCUCCUGCUGCAUGGUGGGGGUUGGAAAGUUUCGGCGGUUGGGGAUGGACUCGCGGCUUAUCAGCUUGUUGGUGGGGUAGUGGCUUACCAAGGCUUUGACGGGUAGCCGGCCUGAGAGGGUGACCGGCCACAUGGGGACUGAGAUACGGCCCAGACUCCUACGGGAGGCAGCAGUGGGGAAUAUUGCACAAUGGGCGGAAGCCUGAUGCAGCAACGCCGCGUGCGGGAUGACGGCCUUCGGGUUGUAAACCGCUUUCGCCUGUGACGAAGCGUGAGUGACGGUAAUGGGUAAAGAAGCACCGGCUAACUACGUG
Molecule: ribosomal RNA, 468 nt
Filed under: uncultured bacterium
Lineage: Bacteria
Description: partial 16S ribosomal RNA
Rfam family: Bacterial small subunit ribosomal RNA
Source: RNAcentral